UCCCCAUUCACAUUGCUUCAUUAAAACAAAUCGAAAUAGAAAAAAGUCUAACACUUUAUGAAAAAAAUGGGAGAAACCAUUUCUGAAGCUUCAUCCUCAGCAUCUAAAUUGAAGAAUCAAGAAGAUAGUUUUUACCUUCAUAUACAUCCUCAAGAGCUACACUUUCCACUUGAGUUGAAGAAAAAUAUCUCAUGCUCUUUGCAGUUGUCUAACUAGUCAGAUAAUAAUUAUUUGGCUUUCAAGGCAAAGGAACAAAUUUCAGAGUUAACUGAAGAGAGAGAUUAUCUUAAGAAAGGCUUCAGCAAGCACUGGUAUGCCAUUCAUAACAUGAUCAUUGUUCGGUAAUCUUAAAUAUCUUGUCGUGUAAUCUUGGUUGUUAUCCUAUGAUCUUCAAUAUUGGUCAUGUGUUAAGUUAUUCAACUAUUUACAUCAACUUGAUUUCAUUUUUUUGGGUGUCCGAGAUUCAAACUCCGACCUCUGCAUAUAUUGUGCACUGUUUCAAUCAA
Molecule: long non-coding RNA, 506 nt
Organism: Medicago truncatula (barrel medic)
Lineage: Eukaryota; Viridiplantae; Streptophyta; Magnoliopsida; Fabales; Fabaceae
Exons: 3
Source: RefSeq, a predicted model, not a curated record